AUACGGAGGGUGCAAGCGUUACUCGGAAUCACUGGGCGUAAAGCGCGCGCAGGCGGCUAUUUAAGUUGGAUGUGAAAGCCUACGGCUCAACCGUAGAACUGCAUCAAAAACUAUUUAGCUAGAGUGUGGGAGAGGAAGAUGGAAUUAGUUGUGUAGGGGUAAAAUCCGUAGAGAUAACUAGGAAUACCAAAAGCGAAGGCAAUCUUCUGGAACACUACUGACGCUGAGGCGCGAAAGCGUGGGGAGCAAACGGGAUUAGAAACCCCAGUAGUCC
This 274-nucleotide ribosomal RNA is filed under the name uncultured bacterium. Its description in RNAcentral is "partial 16S ribosomal RNA". It matches the Rfam family "Bacterial small subunit ribosomal RNA", at positions 523 to 796 of the family's 1533-position model. The record is from RNAcentral.